GCCUGGAUGGCUCAGUCGGUUGAGCAUCCGACUUCAGCUCAGGUCAUGAUCUUGGAGUUUGUGGGCUCGAGCCCUACAUCAGGCU
Molecule: transfer RNA, 85 nt
Filed under: Felis catus (domestic cat)
Lineage: Eukaryota; Metazoa; Chordata; Mammalia; Carnivora; Felidae
Rfam family: tRNA
About the family: Transfer RNA (tRNA) molecules are approximately 80 nucleotides in length.
Source: Rfam by way of RNAcentral